Antechinus flavipes (yellow-footed antechinus) is the source of this 2898-nucleotide long non-coding RNA. RefSeq lists it as uncharacterized. The transcript has 4 exons. The record is from RefSeq and is a predicted model, not a curated record. NCBI's taxonomy places the organism in Eukaryota, Metazoa, Chordata, Mammalia, Dasyuromorphia, Dasyuridae.
CCCCACAAUUACCUCAUCAUUUAAUAUUUAUUUCAGGGAGGCAGAAUGUUAAAAAAUAAGAAUCUUUAAUGAGGUAGAACACCCUUUGUAUGGGUCACAAUUGUUGGUAGUGAAUCAUAGCACCGUACUGUGGAAUUAGAAAUGAUAAGGAGCUCUAAGUAGUCAGUACCUGUGGCAGUCCUUUCUGGCAACCUUUACAUGUUAUUAUGGUUCGGGCUAAAUGGAAUUGCUCAAGCCAUAUGUGGUUAGUAACAAACACCAUUAGAGCCCUGAGAGUACUGAAAUUUAUUUCCUCUUUAGGGGAGAAAAUGGAUGAGGUCAGAGUACUUCACUAUGCUUACUACACUGUGUGGUGUAUUUGAGAAAGGCAGAUGGCAACUGGUAACUCAUAGCAACUACAGGGAGCUGAAUCAAGUUGUCACAAGCAUUGCUACAACUCUUCCUGACCUUGUAAUAUAAUAGAACAGGUAAGCCUAGGUCUUAGAAUAAGUGAUAUGAAGAUUAUUACCUUGCUGAUAAUUUUCUUCUUUCCUCUAUUUUUGUGGCUAUGACUUAUCAGGAGCAGUUCACUUUCAUCCAGAAGGAAGUACAGUCUACUUCCACCAUCCCUACUCAGGGAUACCUGAACUCUUAGUUAUAAUGGCACAAUCUGUCAUGUGAGGAGACAGAGCACAAAUUACUGGAGGGAAUCAACAGUUUAUCAGUAGGUCGUGAUAUAUGGAGUCUUGACUCAAAAGUCAAACUGGAAACUAAAAUCAGUUUACAGAAGGGUUCCAUAUUACAAAAAGGCUUAAGAAUACUUGUUAACGCUACAACCAAAACUGAAGCUAACUCAAAGGACUGAGCUACAAUAAUGAUACAGUGAAGGGGGAAAAAAAUCCAAACAAAACAUAUGGCAAAGAAAAUGAGAAGGCAGAAGCAUAAAGUCAGUGUAUAGAAAGAGAUGGAAGAUGGAAAAGAGAUGAUGAAUGGGGCCAUCUCUGGUAAAAGACAGGUAAGGAGUCCAAGUAGAGGAAGCAGCAAAUGCCAGGCCACUUCUUCUGCAGAAUCCUGAACAAAGAGAGAACUGGGGUGGCAUAGAAGAGACCAGAGGUAUGUAAAAACAAAAAAUAUAUACACUUUAUUUUCUUAGUAAAGUAAGGGUUAAGUCUUUUCGUAGGAGGACAAAGCAAAGUCUAGGGAUCUUGAAGGUUGAAUCAAAAUUAGAGAAGAUAUAUGGUUUUUCCCCCUCAAAUUACCUAUUUUUAAAUUUUGAGUUCUAAAUUCUUUUCCUCCUGCCUCACCAUUUGAGAUAUUUAUGUGACUAAUAUCAAUUAGACAUGAGAUUAUGCAAAAUCUAUUUCCAUAUUAUCCAUUAUUACACGCACACACACAAAAAAAGGGCAAGAAAAAUGUUAGAAAACCAUGUUACAAUUUGCAGAAUUUACUAGUUCUUUCCCUGGAGUUGUACAGCAAUUCUCAUCAAGAAUCCUUUGGAAUUUCCUUGAAUCACUGUCUUUAUCAGAGUAACUAAGUCUUUCACAGUAGAUCACCAUUAUAAUAGUGCUAAUGCAAUGUACAAUGAUCUGAUUCUGCUGACUUCAUGCUACAUCAGUUCACAUUAAGUCUUAGUCAUGUUUUUCUGUAACCAUUCCUCCUUGUCAUUUCUUAUAAUAGAACAAUGUUCCAUCACAAUUGUAUAAUACAAUUUGUUUAGUCAUUUUCCAAUUGCUCGGACUCUUCUUCAAUUUCUAAUGUUUGGGCACCAGAGAAAUAACUGCUACAAAUAUUUUUGGCUUAUAAGUCCCUUUCCUUAUUCUUUAAUCUCGUUGGAGGUACAGACCUAAUAAUUGGCAUUGCUGAGUCAAAGAGUUUUAUAGCCCUUUAGCUUUAGUGCCAAACUGAACAGAUGGACUAAUUCACAACUCCACCAAAAGCUCAUUAGUGUAAUUUCUUUCCCUACCUCUUCCAUCAUUUGUCAUUUCCAAUAGGUUUUGUGAAGUGGUAUCUAAUCAGUGAUUUAUUUGAUUUUACGAACAUAGUUUUGAUGGCUUUUUCUGAAAAUUGCCUGUUUUAUAUCCCUUGACAAUUUAUCAAUUAGGGAAUUGCUCUGAAUUUUAUAAAUUUGAUUUCAUUCCCUAUAUAUUUGAGAGAAGAGACCUUUGUCAAACUAAGUAUAAAUUUUUUUUUUAUAUUACUUCACUGUCUAUGGCACCUUUUAUCAAAAUGUAGUUUCCCUGACUCUGUUGUUCCAUCAUAUCCAAUUCUUAAUGACCACAUUUUGGGGUUUUCUUAGGAAUUACUGGAGUGGGCUGCCAUUUCCUUCUCCAGUUCAUUUUACAGAUCAAGCACCAAAGUAAACCGGGUUAAGCAACUUUUUCCAGGAUCACACAAUAAGUAUUUAAAAUCAAGAUAAGUCUUUCUCAUGCCAAGGUUAAUGUUUUUUCCUCUAUAAACCACUUAGUUUCUCUGUUACCUUCUUUAAUUAGUUCUACUUUUGGUCUGUUUGAGAUCUUGAGGGCUACUUCCUGUCUAUUUCAGUUGAAGCAGGACAAAUUAUCUCCUUAUUUUAACUGUGUCCUGUUUCAAAUGUCCAUUUUGUAAAAACAUUUAUUGGAUUUUGGUUUCUAAUCCAUUUUACUCUCAUCAGAUAAGGUUACCCUAUUCACACAGUUAUGAUGACUGUUUCCUUCCUCUAGUUUUCCUGUUUUUAUCCCUUCUCACAAUUGUUUUGCUUCUAACCACUGUCUCCCUAAUCUACCCUCCCUCUUUAUUAUCUUCCUUUCCUCUUUCUCUUAUUUUCCUUCCUCUGGUAUUUAUUUCCCUAAUCCCAAACUCUGGAGAAAGAAAAGGGGAGAAAUAGAGAUAAGGUAAAAUGCAUGAGUAUGUCUGCACGCGCACACACACACACACACAUAC